AUUUAUUUUGUGGUUCGCGUCUAGCUACGCGUCUAUCGUAAGGGCGCGAAAAUAACCAAGCUGUGUGCCGUAAUAUCAUCAGUUUAGGUGCUGUCACUCUUCAACCGUUCCCUUUCAGAGCUUGUUGCCGAGAAUGUCGGGGCCGCGGGCGUAUGCCAUCGGCCAAGACGAGCUACAGAGGCGCCUUAAAAAGCUUCACGAUGAAAAAGACCUGAUAGUGAACGUGUUGGACCACUUGCUGCAAAGAAUGGACCUGAUGGUGGCUCAUGGGAGCAGUCUGACUAACAUGAAUCAGUUUCUCUGUUAUUUUGUGGAUGCUACCAGCACAAUGGAGCACAUGUAUAUGAAGCUCUUCAAGAUUCAUGUCCUUCUCACUGAAGAUACAUAUGUUGAUGCUGAACAACAGAGAGUUCCUCAUAUGGCUAUCACAUACUCAUUCCAUGCCAGCAGUGACCAGAACAGCAACUCCCAGCUCGCUGUACUGGAAGCAACGAAGGAUAGUCUCAACUGCCUGCCAUCUGGUUCACAACAUCCCUCCUCUCCACAUCUGUCCAUCUGUGAUGAGGUGCUGGGACGUCAGACGUCUGGUGCAAGUUUUGCACUUCCGCAGGAAACUGCUGCUGCAAUUUCAUCACUCACUGCAGCGUAUGCCAGGCUCGCAAGUGGGUCACCGCUAACUGCACCGACACAUGAUACCGCUGGCAAGCCCCCAGACCUGGCACCAUUUUGCAGUACAGCUCCAAACAGUGAAAUGUAUGCUGCUACCAUGCCUGCUGCUAUGCAUGCUGCAGCAGUACCUGCACCUACCGUGCCUGCUCCUACUGUGCCAACCUCUACUCUACAGACUCCAGCUGUACCUGCUAUGGCUGUACUUGCUCCAAGUGUACCUGCUCCUAUGGUGCAUGCUGCAGGUGUACCUGCUCCUUCAGUGCCUACUAUGCAUACUGCUACCCCGCAUUUUUCGGGUGUACCUGCUAUGUCUGUACCUGCUCCUACGAUACAUGCUUUGGGUGUACCUACUCCUACUAUGCCAACUAUGCAAUCUCCAGUUGUACCUACUCUGGCUGUACCUGCUUCGACUGUGCAUGCUCUAGGUGUACCUGCGCCUACUGCUACCCUGCAUAUUCCGGCUGUACCAACACCUACGGUGAAUGCUCCGAGUGUGGAUACUCCAGCAGUGCCUGCUCUGACUGUGCCUAGUGCAGCUAUGCCUACAGCUUCUGUGCAUGUCUCACCUCUACCUGCUCAUGUUGCACCUGUUCCAACUGCUCCUGCUCCUGCUGCAGCUGCUCCGGCUGUACUUCCAUGCGGAUUGGCACUAAGCUGUAGCACAACUCCUUGCAGUGAAACUUACACUACUGUGCAUACUACUGUAGCACAUACUGCUCUGGUGCAGAGUUCUGCUAUGUCUUCACCUAGCCUCUUGCUAAAUCGUAGCACAAAUCCAUGCAGUGAAGAGUAUGCUGCUGCUAUGCCCGGCUCUGCUACACACAGCCCAGCUGCACCUGGCCUUGCUGCACCUGGCUCCACAACACCCAUGAUGUUCGCAACAUCACUGACAUCUACACAGACACCUGCAGCUGUGCCACCAGUACACCAUCCUUCUGCUGAAGUCGUUGGCACUGUUUCCCAGAAGAGUACUGGUUCUAUGAGUUUUAAUCAAGGUGAUGCAUACUCCUGUGAGAGAGAAGGUAACCUGAACAAUUUGUCCAAGCUUGGACCAUGUGUGCCUACACGAAACCAUCCUGCUACCCCUGCACCACCUACACAAAGCCAAGGUGGCCUAAAUGUGGUUGCCAGUGACAAUGCAGCUACAAAGCCCAACUUUCAACAGCAGAAACAACCUGAGCAUGCUACAAGGCCAUGUACAAGAUCUGCUGCACAACAGCCAAGUAAACCAAAGGCUGCUGAAGUUCCUUUACCUAACGCAAAUGUUGUUGGGACCACACAAGACAUUGUUCUUUCUUUCUAUAAGACACCAUCUGAAUUUUGGAUUCAACUGGAUUCUUCUGCAAGCACAUUGGAAGAUAUUCUGAAGAGGUUGCAUGAGUACUACAGCAGCAGGACCCAGCGGCGAGAGUUUACUGCCAAACCUGGCAUGUACUGUGCAGCAUACUAUGCAGAAGAUGGUCACUGGUACCGUGCUAGGAUUCUGCAAGUUUUGAAAGAUCAUGCCAAGGUAUUUUAUGUAGACUUUGGCAACAGUGACAGAGUGAACAUCAAUUAUGUAUGCUUCCUUGAAGAGGAGUUUACAUCACUUCCAGCACAGGCUCUUUGCUGCAGUAUUAAGAAUGUGAAGUCCACAUGUGGCCCAGGCCUUUGGAGUUUCGCUGCCGUUCGUGCAUUUCGAGACAAAAUCUCUGGACAAGGAACAAAGUUGAAAGCCUUCUUUCACUCGCAAGAUAUUGUCACUGGUCGCUACACUGUGGACAUUCUGUCCGUCAAUGAAGACCAUGUCUCCAUUAACUUGUCUCAAGAAUUCCUCACUACCUGCUCUUCAGGAUACCUGCAGCCCAACAACCAGAAAGCUUUCAACUGUGCCACUAAGUUGCCGGUGACUCAUCCUGCAGUCACUGUGCCGAAGGCCACUACAUCUCCAGCCACAACAGCCACUGCUGUGACAUCUUCAACCACUGUGCCUCUAGUUGGAACAACCCCACCUACCACAACUUCUGCUUACACUGCACCUCAGCCUGGCAUGCCAAGCGGGUCUGUGCUUUCAAUGUGCAUGCCACCACCUGGCAUGUUCCCUGCUAGCAUGCCUGCUGCCAGCACACCUUCAACUGGUGCACUACCAUGUAAUAUGCCUCCUGCCAGUGCAGCCCCAGCUUGCACACCGAAACUUGGGGUGCCAUUGGCAGGUCCAUCUCCCACUGGCAAGGCCGCACCUCCAGCGGGCAUGGCCCCACCUCCAGCGGGCAUGGCCCCACCUCCAGCGGGCAUGGCCCCACCUCCAGCUGGCAUGGCCCCACCUCCAGCUGGCAUGGCCCCACCUCCAGCUGGCAUGGCCCCACCUCCAGCUGGCAUGGCCCCACCUCCAGCCGGCAUGGCCCCACCUCCAGCCGGCAUGGCCCCACCUCCAGCCGGCAUGGCCCCACCUCCAGCCGGGAUGGGCCCACCUCCAGCCGGCAUGGCCCCACCUCCAGCCGGCAUGUCUCCACCACCUGCUGACACGUCUCCACCACCUGCUGACAUGCCUGCAUCUGCUACUGGCAUAGCUUCAUCUCCUGCUGGCAUAGCUUCAUCUCCUGCUGGCAUAGCUUCACCCUCAGCUGUCACGGCAAUGGCUCCCACAACAGUGGCUGCCAUCGCUCCUGCUGCUGCAUCUCCUGGUGGCAUGCAACCACCUGGCAUGUACCCAGCUUACCUACAACUUGCCAGCAUGACUCCACCAGCUGUUGUGCCUCCAGCUAUCCUUCCUGACGGCAACACUUUUUGUGUGUGUCUUUCUGUGGUGUUCAAUCCAUCAGACUUCUACGGCCAGAUAGUGGAGAAAGCAAACCCUACAGUCAAGGUACUAGAAGAUCUGCAGCAAAAUCUGAACAAGUUUGGCUCCCAGAGUGAGGCACCGGUGGAAGAAAUGGUGACCAAGGGCUCCUUCUGGAUCUGUCGCUUUCAGGGUGACAAAAACUGGUACCGAGCUCAGGUACUCGACGUGCUUCCGGGACCCACUUGCGUGACAGCGUUUCAGGGUCCUGUAUGUAGACUAUGGCAACCGAAGCACUGUGCUUUGCUCCUUUCUGCGGCCAUUGCCUCCUGAGCUCGCAAGCCUUCCAGCCUGUGCCCACCGCAUGUCUCUGGCAUAUGUGGGUCCAAAGCAGGGCAACAAGUGGGACGAAUCUGCCAUUGGAGUUUUUGUCAAGGAAACUGGCUUCAACAUUUCCCUCAUUGCUGAGAAGAAGGGUCACCGGCGGGCUGGCUUUGAAGACAUCACGGAAGUUGUUCUGUGGAACAGGAAUGGUCCAACAGCAGUGAAUAUCAAUGUUGUGCUUGUUGAGCAGGACGUGGCAGUGCUGAAGUCUGCAGAAUGAAAGUUUGUGCACUAGUCAUUGUUAUAGUGCCCCCCCCCCCCCCCGCUUUGUGUUGAAAGUGUGACAGAAGUGUGUCAUAAUCGAGAUUAUCUGCCCAAGUUUAUCUUGAAUGGUUUUGCUCAGUACUGUGUUCAAGGCCCAUUGCCUCUUUCCCUUUUUGUCCUCUGUUUUAUUUGUAUAAAAUUACCAUAUGCAGCAUAACAAAGCUUCUUCUGGCUGCCUAUAGAAGAAAACUGUGUUCAUAUCGUUACUUUGAAGUUCACUUUUAUUAUGUCAAGUCUUAUUGUAUGUGUUAGCAUGACCCUCCUUGAAAUUAUGUGAUAUGUGAAUGUGAUAGCCUUGUCAACACUGCAAGCGAACUCUGUUCAGGGUGUUAUUUUGAAUGUGCGUAUUCAUUUAAAUUAUGAAAUGCAGCCCAGGCUAACCAUCUUGCAUGUUCUAACCAUUUAUGAAUAGAAAAGAACUUUUUAUUUUUCAUAGGAUUAGCAGGUUGGCUUGACCUCCCUUCAUUCACCUUUAUUUUUUUGUUUGUGUACAAGCGUGAAAAUAAGUUUAUUGCAGAAAAGCAAUGUUUUGGUAUCCUCAGUAGGCUUCAUUUGAGUGAAUGAAGUUUCAUGAUGAUGUGCCCUACAGUGUUGAAAACCAUCCAGCUCCUGCAGUAGC
RNA transcript from Rhipicephalus sanguineus (brown dog tick), 4694 nucleotides. RefSeq lists it as uncharacterized. The transcript has 11 exons. Lineage: Eukaryota; Metazoa; Arthropoda; Arachnida; Ixodida; Ixodidae. The record is from RefSeq and is a predicted model, not a curated record.